Molecule: ribosomal RNA, 253 nt
Filed under: uncultured bacterium
Lineage: Bacteria
Description: partial 16S ribosomal RNA
Rfam family: Bacterial small subunit ribosomal RNA
Source: RNAcentral
UACGAAGGGUGCAAGCGUUACUCGGAAUUACUGGGCGUAAAGCGUGCGUAGGUGGUCGUUUAAGUCUGUCGUGAAAGCCCUGGGCUUAACCUGGGAAUUGCGAUGGAUACUGGGCGACUAGAGUGUGGUAGAGGAUAGUGGAAUUUCCGGUGUAGCAGUGAAAUGCGUAGAGAUCGGAAGGAACAUCUGUGGCGAAGGCGACUAUCUGGGCCAACACUGACACUGAGGCACGAAAGCGUGGGGAGCAAACAGG